Molecule: ribosomal RNA, 670 nt
Filed under: Suillus luteus
Lineage: Eukaryota; Fungi; Basidiomycota; Agaricomycetes; Boletales; Suillaceae
Description: eukaryotic LSU rRNA
Rfam family: 5.8S ribosomal RNA (bases 267-421)
Source: RNAcentral
UAGAGGAAGUAAAAGUCGUAACAAGGUUUCCGUAGGUGAACCUGCGGAAGGAUCAUUAAUGAAAUUAUAAUCCGGCGAGGGGAAAGGCGGAGAGUUGUAGCUGGCCUCCAGGGGCAUGUGCACGCUCUCUUCCGGACCUUUCGCCGUAUGGGCGCGGGGCGACCCGCGUCUUCAUAUACCUCUUCGUGUAGAAAGUCUUUGAAUGUUUUACCAUCAUCGAGUCGCGACUUCUAGGAGACGCGAUUCUUUGAGAAAAAAGUUAUUACAACUUUCAGCAACGGAUCUCUUGGCUCUCGCAUCGAUGAAGAACGCAGCGAAUCGCGAUAUGUAAUGUGAAUUGCAGAUCUACAGUGAAUCAUCGAAUCUUUGAACGCACCUUGCGCUCCUCGGUGUUCCGAGGAGCAUGCCUGUUUGAGUGUCAGUAAAUUCUCAACCCCUCUCGAUUUGCUUCGAGCGGGUGCUUGGAUGUUGGGGGCUGCCGGAGACACUGGAUUCGUCCAGGACUCGGGCUCCUCUUAAAUGAAUCGGCUCGCGGUCGACUUUCGACUUUGCAUGACAAGGCCUUUGGCGUGAUAAUGAUCGCCGUUCGCCGAAGUGCAAGACAGAAUGGUCCCGUGCCUCUAAUGCGUCGACGCCUCUAGGGGCGUCUUCCUCAUUGACGUUGACCUCA